CAUGCAGUUGAGCGCUGAAGGUUGGUACUUGUACCGACUGGAUGAGCAGCGAACGGGUGAGUAACGCGUGGGGAAUCUGCCUUUGAGCGGGGGACAACAUUUGGAAACGAAUGCUAAUACCGCAUAAAAACUUUAAACACAAGUUUUAAGUUUGAAAGAUGCAAUUGCAUCACUCAAAGAUGAUCCCGCGUUGUAUUAGCUAGUUGGUGAGGUAAAGGCUCACCAAGGCGAUGAUACAUAGCCGACCUGAGAGGGUGAUCGGCCACAUUGGGACUGAGACACGGCCCAAACUCCUACGGGAGGCAGCAGUAGGGAAUCUUCGGCAAUGGACGAAAGUCUGACCGAGCAACGCGCGUGAGUGAAGAAGGUUUUCGGAUCGUAAAACUCUGUUGGUAGAGAAGAACGUUGGUGAGAGUGGAAAGCUCAUCAAGUGACGGUAACUACCCAGAAAGGGACGGCUAACUACGUGCCA
This 472-nucleotide ribosomal RNA is filed under the name Lactococcus lactis. RNAcentral's name for it is "bacterial SSU rRNA". It matches the Rfam family "Bacterial small subunit ribosomal RNA", at positions 54 to 510 of the family's 1533-position model. The record is from RNAcentral. Lineage: Bacteria; Bacillati; Bacillota; Bacilli; Lactobacillales; Streptococcaceae.